RNAcentral lists this long non-coding RNA (1331 nucleotides) under Lupinus angustifolius (narrow-leaved blue lupine). RNAcentral describes it as "long non-coding RNA (LANG_LNC002766)". Lineage: Eukaryota; Viridiplantae; Streptophyta; Magnoliopsida; Fabales; Fabaceae. The record is from RNAcentral.
AUAGUGAUUCUUAUAUUACUAUUCUUUCUCAUAAACACAAACCCUUUUACGUCUCUUGACAAAAAGAAAAAAAUCUACACCUCUCUUCUUUCUAGAGAUAGGAGGAGGAGAGAAAAUAUUUCCAUUAUACAACAUUCAAUUAAGGUAUUUGGUAGCAACAUAUAUAUAUCAAUUACAAUUGUUGUCAAAAUUCAUCAAUAUGGCUAAGACAAUGAGAAAUCAAAGUUCAUGGUUGGAGGUUGCCCCAGCACCUAUAAUUUUCCCAACAAAGCCUUCUUCUAAUACUCCUAAAUUGGAGACCAUUACCGAAGAAGCUUCUGAAGAAUACGAUGAUAUAUAUAUAUAUAUAUAUAUAUGUAUGUAUGGUUUGUGACGUUGGAUCCAUCAUCAUCUUUGGAAAUAUUUUGAUGAUACCGAUAUCUCCUCGUCCAACCGUGGCUCUUAAAUUUGUAAGUAGUGCAAGAUUUUGUGAGUAGUAGAUAUGCAAAGGUUAAAUAUGAAAUAUGUUUUGCAGGCUCUAGCUUUUUGAAGAGAAACUAUAGUUGUGAACUUGAUCAUGAUUGAGUUUGCAACUACCUUGUAUAUAUAUAAAUGUUGUAAAAUAUGUUCGUUUUUUAAUGUAUAUCUUUAUUGUGAUCUAUAUUUUCAAAUGAUGCUUUGUUAGAUUAUAUGUUGCAAACAACCAAAGACAUAUGUAAGGAUGGAAAUGUUAGAUGAACUUAAAAACUAGGAUAAGGCAAAUUAACGGAUGGGUGUUAGAGAAAUUAGAAAUAACAUCAUCCCAAAAACUAGUUUGUAGAGGUGUGACAAUUCCAGUCAUUGUUAUAUAUCUUGACUAAGUCUAAAGGACAUGGGACUUUAUGAUUAACAAACCUUUUAUGCUUAAUAAUAACACAUUUAGAACAUGUUAUAUUGUGAAAGAGAAUAUUUACCCAAACGUACCUCAUGUAUAUUCAACUAUAGACGCCUAGAUGGUGGGUGAUAGUAUAUAUUAGUAGAACUUAAAUUACUUGGGCCAAGUUAUACCUGGCUAAUAUAUGAGUUCUUAGGUUGAGAUUCUAUUCAAUACUGGAACUAUUCUAUUCUACGGGCUGAUAACAAAAUUGUUUAUAUUGAAUGAUACUACGUCGUCAUUUGUGGAAUAACAAGAGGUUUCACCUCAAAAAUUGGACUGUGUAAGAAAGAGGAACAAUGAUCCUUUCAAUUAAUGAAUUCAUUAUAAUUAGAAAGGUAAAUAUGUCAUUGGAGAUUGUAUUUUUCUUUAUUUUUUAAUGUAUUUGUCUCUCCAUUAAUGGAGAGGAUCCCAACACAAGAAAGAAGGUAGCCUUUGC